AUGUCUUAUUUGCAGUCAGAAGUGUCCAAAGAGUACAAUGUGUUUGGUUAUUACCCUGUUAGACUGGCGGCAUGGCAAAAGCGAGGACUCCCAACCUGAUCACGUUUAGUGACCAAGAAUCAGACGAAGAAGAGAGCAACAAGAGAACAACGGGACGUUCGUCUGAAACGUCUUCUCGUGGUAAUAGGCCAAUGCGAUAUAGCACCAGAAACACACGUCACCAGCCCACCGUCGUGUUUAGUCACAAAACGUCAAACAAAGAUGGCAAGAAAACAAAGAGAACGAGACCAACAUCGAAGCGCAAAAAGAUCUCGCAAUCUACCACGGCUUCAUUUGUUCCUGCAGAUCCUUCCGACCUGGGCUUUUACAGUUCGGAUGAUGACAGUACU
Molecule: long non-coding RNA, 389 nt
Organism: Branchiostoma belcheri (Belcher's lancelet)
Lineage: Eukaryota; Metazoa; Chordata; Leptocardii; Amphioxiformes; Branchiostomatidae
Exons: 3
Source: RefSeq, a predicted model, not a curated record